This is a non-coding RNA of Kogia breviceps (pygmy sperm whale), 588 nucleotides long. NCBI's taxonomy places the organism in Eukaryota, Metazoa, Chordata, Mammalia, Artiodactyla, Physeteridae. The record is from RefSeq and is a predicted model, not a curated record.
UGAGCGUGGGCUGGACCUAGUGACUUGCUUCUUCCAGGUAAAAUGCAGCAGAAGUGGAUGUCUCUUUCGAGAUUAGGUUACAAAUGGACUGUGAUUCUUUCAUGUUUUUGCAUGUGCUGUCUGUCUGUCUCUCUCUCUAAGGAAAGACACCUGCCACGUUGGGAUCUGCCCAGUGGAGAGGCACAUCUGGCAAGGAAUUGAUGUCUUCAGACAGUAGCUCAUGAGGACCCGAGGCCUUCCAAGAGCCACAUGACUGGUGGAGAUGGAGCUGUAGUUUGUGCCCAUGGAGCAGCUUAAACACUAUCUGCCCCAACCCGCCUGAGACUAUCCGCUCCCCAGUUGGCAGUACUUAAAGGAAAAAAGGCAAUCCACCCAAGCUCCCAGCGAGCGGGAGUCCCAAGAGUCAUGACCAGGAUCUCGUAGCAAAGUGGAAUUCAUCUCUAACAGGAAAUUGAUAGCUGCCCGGACUUCGUCAAUUCGGAUACGUCUGCCCCUGGCCUGGAAUGGAGGAAUGGUGUGCUGGAAUCUCCCCUCAGGAAGGCUGGACUUCUGCAAAUUCCCUCUCAUGCAUGAGUAUCUGCCCAGGUC